Molecule: ribosomal RNA, 533 nt
Filed under: uncultured bacterium
Lineage: Bacteria
Description: bacterial SSU rRNA
Rfam family: Bacterial small subunit ribosomal RNA
Source: RNAcentral
AGUAAAUAGAUACCCGGGUAGUCCACGCCGUAAACGAUGUCGACUUGGAGGUUGUGCCCUUGAGGCGUGGCUUCCGGAGCUAAACGCGUUAAAGUCGACCGCCUGGGGAGUACGGCCGCAAGGUUAAAACUCAAAUGAAUUGACGGGGGCCCGCACAAGCGGUGGAGCAUGUGGUUUAAUUCGAUGCAACGCGAAGAACCUUACCUACUCUUGACAUCCAGAGAACUUAGCAGAGAUGCUUUGGUGCCUUCGGGAACCCUGAGACAGGUGCUGCAUGGCUGUCGUCAGCUCGUGUUGUGAAAUGUUGGGUUAAGUCCCGCAACGAGCGCAACCCUUAUCCUUUGUUGCCAGCGGUUAGGCCGGGAACUCAAAGGAGACUGCCAGUGAUAAACUGGAGGAAGGUGGGGAUGACGUCAAGUCAUCAUGGCCCUUACGAGUAGGGCUACACACGUGCUACAAUGGCGCAUACAAAGAGAAGCGACCUCGCGGGAGCAAGCGGACCUCAUAAAGUGCGUCGUAGUCCGGAUUGGAGU